UUAGUACUAGUCCCGAAUCUGGAGAUAUGGCCAGCUCCGCUUCCAUUUCUAGGCCCAGGUUCCGCUGCUUCGACCCUAGUAACUCUUACCCUGCGACUCCCGAUCACCCUCGCUACUUCUCGUCUUCCCCUCCCACCUCCAGCCCCUCCACUCCCCGAGUGAACGGCCGCUCCAGUGGCAGCAUGGCAAUUUCCGACAACUCCGAGCUCAAAUCGCCACCGGCCCCGGUGGCUACGUCCUCGAAGAUGUUCCUCACUUAGUUGAUUACAUCCCCGAUCUCCCCACAUAUCCCAAUCCAUUACAAGACAAUCCGUCCUAUUCGGUUGUUAAGCAGUAUUUCGUUAAUGCAGAUGAUACCGUUGCUCAAAAGAUUGUUGUUCAUAAGGAUAGUCCAAGGGGGACACACUUUCGACGCUCUGGACCACGUCAGAAGGUGUAUUUCGAGUCAAAUGAUGUGCAUGCGUGCAUUGUGACAUGUGGUGGUCUCUGUCCAGGACUGAAUACAGUUAUUAGGGAAAUAGUAUGCGGUCUGUACCACAUGUAUGGUGUCAGAAGAAUUCUCGGAAUAGAGGGUGGAUAUAGAGGGUUUUAUGCCAGAAAUACAAUCCCCUUAACACCGAAGGUUGUGAAUGACAUCCAUAAACGAGGUGGCACCAUCCUUGGAACCUCGCGAGGUGGGCAUGUUACCUCAAAGAUUGUGGACAGCAUCCAGGACAGAGGAAUUAAUCAGGUUUAUGUAAUUGGAGGAGAUGGAACUCAGAAAGGAGCUUCGGUGAUUUUUGAGGAAAUCAGGAGGCGUGGCCUCAAAGUAGUGGUGGCAGGAAUUCCCAAAACCAUCGAUAAUGACAUUCCGGUUAUAGACAGGUCUUUUGGUUUUGACACUGCUGUUGAGGAGGCUCAACGAGCCAUUAAUGCAGCUCAUGUUGAAGCAGAAAGCGUUGAGAAUGGUAUUGGCUUCGUCAAGUUAAUGGGCCGCUACAGUGGUUUCAUAGCAAUGUAUGCUACUCUUGGUAGCCGAGACGUCGACUGCUGUCUGAUUCCAGAGUCACCUUUUUAUCUGGAAGGACCAGGCGGACUUUAUGAAUACAUUGAAAGAAGACUGAAGGAGGAUGGUCACCUGGUUAUAGUAAUGGCUGAAGGUGCAGGACAAGAGCUUCUUGCUGAAAGCAUGAACCAACAGGAUGCUUCUGGAAAUAAGCUUCUCCAAGAUGUUGGUCUCUGGUUAUCUCAAAAUAUCAGGGACCACUUCUCGAAACAGAGAAAUAUGGCUAUAAAUCUCAAAUAUAUAGAUCCUACUUACAUGAUCCGUGCGAUUCCAAGUAAUGCAUCUGAUAAUGUAUAUUGCACCCUCCUUGCUCACAGUGCCAUUCAUGGUGCGAUGGCUGGAUACACAGGCUUCACUGUCGGCCCUGUUAACGGGAGGCAUGCUUACAUUCCGUUCCGUCGGGUGACCGAGAGGCAGAACAAGGUUGUGAUCACUGACAGAAUGUGGGCACGGUUACUGUCAUCAACCAAUCAGCCGAGCUUCUUGGACCUGAAAGAGGUCGAAGCAAUGAAGAAAGAGGAAAAGGAAGAGGAAACAAAAGCCCAACUGAUAGUUGGGGAAAACCAUACUGAAGCAACUUCAGCGUCUUUACCGAAGGAAUAGGAAAAGGGUUCAACAAGCAGCUUGUUUCCGAAAUCAAAGAUCGUUGUGUUCUUGGCGUUCUUAUUCGUUUUCGCUCCCUGUCUUCCUGUGUGAUGUAAUUCUUUAGAAGAGCACCCUAAAUCCGGCGGUGUUUUGGGUUGUUCGAUCGAUAUAUUUAAAUAUAUUUAAAAGGAGUCGGUAGUAUAUUCAAGAAACAUUGCCAAGUUAUGAGUUGCUGGCAGAUUGGUUCCUCUCCACAACUUUUCCCAACUAAACAUUCCAUUCUCUUUUCAGAACGGUCUAUCAAAAUUUGAGGAUUUUGGAACAAUA
Malus domestica (apple) is the source of this 1957-nucleotide non-coding RNA. The record is from RefSeq and is a predicted model, not a curated record. Lineage: Eukaryota; Viridiplantae; Streptophyta; Magnoliopsida; Rosales; Rosaceae.